Non-coding RNA from Rhopilema esculentum, 2783 nucleotides. The record is from RefSeq and is a predicted model, not a curated record. NCBI's taxonomy places the organism in Eukaryota, Metazoa, Cnidaria, Scyphozoa, Rhizostomeae, Rhizostomatidae.
CAAAUAGAAUCUACUAAUACUAAUAUGCGGAUAUGCAAAUGAGCUCCGAACAAAAGAUCCACACCGCACGGCGGUUCAACCCCUUUUUCUCCCCGAAGGGCAGAGCGGAUCUUCCCCGGCAAGGUCUCAAAUCGAAGCUAGAUAAUUGAUUUGCUAUCAUAAAGGUAUAAUGUUUUUUUUCCUGCCUUGUUUCUCGAGAUAUUUGGCGUUUUCUGAGGCAUCGUCUCGAUCACCGUUAAUGCUCUCCGUGGUCUUUGUCCCGUGUUUCUAAAGGUUCUUUCUCUCUCUUUUCUCUUACUCUCUGCAAAAGAUUGCCACACCGCCCGGCGGUUCAACCCCUUUAUCUCCCCGAAGGGCAGAGCGGAUUUUCCCCGGCAAGGUCUCAAAUCGAAGCUAGAUAAUUGAUUUGCUAUCGUAAAGAUAUAACGUUUUUUUUGCUGCCUUUUUUCUCGAGAUAUUUGGCGUUUUCUGAAGCAUCGUCUCGAUCACCGUUAGUGCUCUCCGUGGUCUUUGUCCCGUGUUUCUAAAGGUUCUUUCUCUCUCUUUUCUCUUACUCUCUGCAAAAGAUUGCCACACCGCACGGCGGUUCAACCCCUUUAUCUCCCCGAAGGGCAGAGCGGAUCUUCCCCGGCAAGGUCUCAAAUCGAAGCUAGAUAAUUGAUUUGCUAUCAUAAAGGUAUAACGUUUUUUUCCUGCCUUUUUUCUCGAGAUAUUUGGCGUUUUCUGAGGCAUCGUCUCGAUCACCAUUAGUGCUCUCCGUGGUCUUUGUCCCGCGUUUCUGAAGGUCCUUUCUCUCUCUUUUCUCUUGCUCUCUACAAAAGAUUUCAAAACUUUUUCCUCCAGCAACCCUUCAAUUUGAACGGAGGCUUUUCAAAUUCGUUUCGCUUUCCACAAAGGAUCCAUUGGAUUUUUCGUAGUUAGAGGAGAGGAUAGCUAAUAAUAAAUCUACGUGCACUGCUGCUUGGCAUUCCUUUUCGAACUCGAAGCGAUCCUCGACGGUCGUGGUCUGUGCUACAGCUUAAGGCUUCAGUCAUUAGUAGCUGCUCUCGAUCUCAGCUACGUACGUACGGUACACACGCUGCUGCCCGUUUUUUUGGUUCUGCGAUGGCUGCUGGCUGUUCCCCUUCUUCACUGGCAUCAGAAUCGAUGGCAACCGAAUACAGAUGAACGAUCGGAUUCGCUGACUUUUUGGUACAACAAAUCAAAGAUCGUUUCAAGCAAUAAUUAUGACGCAGACGUGAUCCUCAACCCCUUCGAAACGAAAUUUAUGGCAUUUAUGCUGGCGUAAAUCGAACAAAGAAACAAGAAAAAACCAUGACUGUGGAGAAAAUUACUAAAUCUGUGAAGAUUAGCAGUUGUCCAUGAAUUGUAUUUUGUUAAUUUGUUGUUUGAGUAAGAAUCCUUUCUGAUGCACGAAACUUUUGCUGUUUUCUAUCUCUCAAUUUCUUAAGUGCUUUGUUGCUGUAGUGUUUUAAAAGCUAAUUGUGACGAAGAUAUGAUACCAGGCCCUCAAAUGAAAUAACUGUGUAAUUAUUUUAAUUCUUUGGAGUUUAGAUCAGAAAUCGUUAACAUUUUUUAUGAAUCAACAUACUUUUUUAGGAAUUUUUAUUCUUAAGAAAUUUUCAGAUGAUGUUUGUCUAAACGAGCACCAUGGACCAAUAACGGCUAACAGGAAUAUUGUGUUGGAAAAUUUUAAUAUUUGAUUCAGAAUAAACAGGGAGCUUUGAGGGUGGCCCGCAAUUAUGUCUUAAAACAGCAUCACAAGUGAACAAAGAUUGAACGAAGUGCUUUAAAAUGAACAUUACAGCUCUAAGAAUGACCUUAGAAAAUAUUUAAAAAAAGCCCCUUUAAGUCGACAAGGGCUAAGAGUGUACGACUAGAAAAUUUUAAAAUUUGUUGGAGAACUUUAAAAUUUGAUUCUGACUAAAUAGGAGAACUUUUAGGAAUAACCCAUGAAAUUAUGUCAACGAGGAUUAAUAAUUGGUGGGGGCAGGCAGAAGCAUGUUGUUGUCAAGCUUUAAAGUAGAAUUCAGAAUAAUAGGCAGAGCUUUUAGAUAAGCCUGCAAAGUAUUUCAACGAUUCAUCAAGAGAUAAAAAAAGAUGGACACUUAAAAACAUUGCAAUUAGAAUAAACAGGAGAAAUGAAGAGGGUAACACGUGAAAAUAUUUAAACGAGGACCACGAAUAGACCGGGGCUUGCAAAAUGUUUUUAAACAACUUUCAACCCUGCCUCUACAUGACAAAUGUAAUGUAUCAAAUUGAAAGAAUGCACAUUUCGAUUAACAGAAGACUAGCUCCCCUACGAAGCCCGCUACGCGGGCUUGCCAGUGGCCCUACGGUUGAAUAUUAAGAUUAGCCUUGGAAAGACAAGAGUGGCCCUACAGUUGAAUAUUGAGAUUAGCCUUGGAAAGACAAGAGUGCCAUAAACCUCGAUUCCAAAAUGAGAAGAGGUCACGUGAUAAAAAAAUUGCUUGCACUCCUGUGCGAAUUAAAUUCACACUUUUGUGACUAUCGCUAGGAAGGGGGGAGCCUCAACCCCAUCUUUCUUUUAAGGCUCCCCCCUUCCUAGCGAUAGUCACAAAAGUGUGAAUUUAAUUCGCACAGGAGUGCAAGCAAUUUUUUUAUCACGUGACCUCUUCUCAUUUUGGAAUCGAGGUUUAUGGCACUCUUGUCUUUCCAAGGCUAAUCUCAAUAUUCAACUGUAGGGCCACUCUUGUCUUUCCAAGGCUAAUCUUAAUAUUCAACCGUAGGGCCACUGGCAAGCCCGCGUAGCGGGCUUCGUA